UUGACUGCCAACAGCAUGGUACGUUGUCACCCAUGACUUUUGUAUUUUCGACUUUCGCCGUCGUUCGACCGUCAUCAUUUUGUCACAAAUUGACAUACGGGCCUUAUUUUAUCUGUAUUGUAAAUGCAGGUAUUGCAUCAUCUUUUUGUAAAUUUUUGAGUUAUUGAGGUAAAUGUCAGAUUUCACGUAUGAAAUACCUCUCAUGUUUUUCUGUAUUUCAUAACUUAAAUUUCCAUGUAAAUUUCAUUAAAUUCUGUUCAGUAAUAAGAAAGUUGAUAUUUUAUAAACUUCAGUAAUUUAUGUUUUUAUCCCCAAAACCACUAUAAUGGGCCUCAAAUUGUCAAUUUAAAUUCGCGCCAAAGUAGUUAGAUUCCCCGGCUAUAUCGUGAAUCCCGUGAAAAUGACAAUAGUCGGAGUCCACGGCUUAGCCGUGAAUCCCAUGAAAUUUAGUAUUUGGCGGGACAUUAUCCUUUAAAUAGACUGGACUAGAUAUGCCUUGCGCACACCACCUUCCGACUUUAUAGACGAAUCUAUGUCUGAAUUAUUUUCUUGCUAGAAAUUUAUGCUCGAUCGAGCUUCUUCCGCCAGACGAUUUUUCCUGGUGAUGUCAUAACCCGGAAGUACAAUGCCCGAGGUUCACUUGUCUUCACUCGCCUGGAUGUGAUAUUCCCAGCGCAGAGCUUUCGUCCCAUGGUUGUGCCGUAAACCGCAAAGACGAUGAUUUUUGUUAUCCUCUGAAGUCAGCUCAGGGAUGCAAUCACCUACCACCAUAGGGAGCCAACACGGAAUCAACGUAUUCACGGUUUAAAGGGACUGUAUUUUGAAUUUAGAAGCUACGUUUUGUUUGUGCUACUUAAAGUUCACAAUUACAUUAAAGACCUGUGUCACGUCAGAUUAGAAUGGACUAUAAGAACUUUUGUAUCUAGAGAUACUGAACUUUCUUUUUUUUUUCUUAUAAUCAGUUUUUUUUUUGUUUUUUUUUUCUUCAUAUCAUCUAUUCAUUGUAAAUAAUCAUCUUUUGUAAAUAAAUUUGUAAAUAUUGUAAA
Mercenaria mercenaria is the source of this 1046-nucleotide long non-coding RNA. RefSeq lists it as uncharacterized. NCBI's taxonomy places the organism in Eukaryota, Metazoa, Mollusca, Bivalvia, Venerida, Veneridae. The transcript has 2 exons. The record is from RefSeq and is a predicted model, not a curated record.